Molecule: long non-coding RNA, 348 nt
Organism: Amphiprion ocellaris (clown anemonefish)
Lineage: Eukaryota; Metazoa; Chordata; Actinopteri; Pomacentridae
Source: Ensembl
UGGCUGCAGCAUUCAGGUGUGCAGGAGCGGUGGGGAAGCCACGAACGAGAGAGCUGCAGGUCUGUUUUCAGCUAUUUUCGCUAUUUUAAUUGUAAUACUUGUUUUAAACUCACCGGUUUAAAUGUUAACUCUUAGGAGCCCCUUAUCGUAGCCAAAUCAGAGACGGACGACGGAGUGAGAGAGUAGAUGCAAAUCGUGGAACUGGCCAGGUCCUUGAUUGAUGGCGAGCUUAAUGGAGCCCUGAACCUAAAGCAAAGCAACUGCUGAAGAAUCGAGUCGCACCUCUCCUGCCAGGCUGACAUUCUUCCACGUCCUGACCUGUGUGGAGCGCUACCUGGCUGUGGUUCA